Dermacentor andersoni is the source of this 1141-nucleotide long non-coding RNA. RefSeq lists it as uncharacterized. The record is from RefSeq and is a predicted model, not a curated record. Lineage: Eukaryota; Metazoa; Arthropoda; Arachnida; Ixodida; Ixodidae.
AGUGCAAAGCCCGACUCCCUUGCUAAGCUGCCUAUGCAGCUAGCGACUGCGAAACAACGAUUUAACUAGAUUUUGGUCCUUAUUGCGAGUGUUUUGCACAUUUAACACCCAGACAGAGAGCUAUUAAUUUAUCCGCUAGUCGGACGCGCCGUCGAAUAGGUGUUUUGUGGCCGAACUGGCUGCCAUAAAGCUGGCUCACUCAUCAGACUGAUGGAGGAAACGACGGCAACUUCGAUAGCGCCGCCCGCUACGAAGAAAUGCCGCAAUCGACGCUACUGUUGUGUUGUAAAUUGCGAUAAACGUGAAGGACUGAAUAACAACGUUCAGUUUUACUGAUUUCCUUUGCGAUCGUAUGAAGGGAGAAAGCCCUGACGGAGGACCGUGGCAACCAAGCGAACACUCAAGAAUCUGCAGCCACCACUUCGUUGGCAACAGAAAAAACAACAUUGCGAACCAUCCUGCAUAUGUGCCAUCGAUAUUUCCAUCUGUUAACAGACGUUCGCCGCGCUUGACUCAACAAGUGGAACCGAGAGAUUUGGCUGUUCAGUUUAACCAAACAUGUUGGUUCAUUUAUGAAUUCAAAAUCCUGUUCCGGAGCACCAUUGUAUCGCAAGCUAAUUUCUAGUUUCAGUAUUUUGUAUGUCCUGCACCGAUACAACAAGCACGUUUCACAAUGCGCCGAGCCUGCUCGACUGCAUCUUUCAAAUGUCAGCAAUAAAGUUGCUGUAGGAGCACUGCAUGAGCAAUUGCAAAGUAAUGCGCACGUGUGUAAAAACAAUGUCGUGUUUAUUUACAUUUAUUUGUGCGCAUGUGCUGCUUGAAGCGUCUGUGAAAAGUUCAAAGGUACUGAGCGAUGCUGUAGCUCCUGCGAUAGAAAGACGGGGCGCGCAGGCACUGUAGGAAGCUUAUUUUGGUAUGUUCGCACUAUGUCUGCUGCCUUGGAAAACGUUUUGUGUUUGCUGCCCUGAAAAAGGCUUUGGAAGGAUUUACUGUCUGUAAAUAAUUGCAAAAAGAUAUUACAAUAAAAUGCAUAAAAAUGUAGGAGAUACUUAAGUCUUGUGUUCAGGACAUUUUCAAUAUGAAACGAUUUGAAAUGCUUAGAUUUUUAUGAUGAUAUGCCUAUAAACAAACCUGAUGCGUA